This 253-nucleotide ribosomal RNA is filed under the name uncultured bacterium. RNAcentral's name for it is "partial 16S ribosomal RNA". It matches the Rfam family "Bacterial small subunit ribosomal RNA", at positions 524 to 776 of the family's 1533-position model. The record is from RNAcentral.
UACGUAGGGAGCAAGCGUUGUCCGGAAUCAUUGGGCGUAAAGCGCGCGUAGGUGGCCCGGUAAGUCCGCUCUGAAAGUCAAAGGCUCAACCUUUGAAAGCGGGUGGAUACUGCCAGGCUAGAGUCCGGAAGAGGCGAGUGGAAUUCCUGGUGUAGCGGUGGAAUGCGCAGAUAUCAGGAGGAACACCGGUGGCGAAGGCGGGUCUCUGGGCCGAUACUGACGCUGAGGAGCGAAAGCGUGGGGAGCGAACAGG